ACGGAAGGCAGCAGUGGGGAAUAUUGCGCAAUGGGGGAAACCCUGAUGCAGCAACGCCGCGUGAGUGAAGAAGUAUUUCGGUAUGUAAAGCUCUAUCAGCAGGGAAGAUAAUGACGGUACCUGACUAAGAAGCACCGGCUAAAUACGUGCCAGCAGCCGCGGUAAUACGUAUGGUGCAAGCGUUAUCCGGAUUUACUGGGUGUAAAGGGUGCGUAGGUGGCAUGGUAAGUCAGAUGUGAAAUACCGGGGCUCAACCCCGGGGCUGCAUUUGAAACUGCCAGGCUGGAGUACAGGAGAGGCAAGCGGAAUUCCUAGUGUAGCGGUGAAAUGCGUAGAUAUAUGGAGGAACAUCAGUGGCGAAGGCGGCUUACUGGGCUUUAACUGACGCUGAGGCUCGAAAGCGUGGGGAGCAAACAGGAUUAGAUACCCUGGUA
Molecule: ribosomal RNA, 434 nt
Filed under: uncultured Lachnospiraceae bacterium
Lineage: Bacteria; Bacillati; Bacillota; Clostridia; Lachnospirales; Lachnospiraceae
Description: partial 16S ribosomal RNA
Rfam family: Bacterial small subunit ribosomal RNA
Source: RNAcentral